Non-coding RNA from Eubacterium plexicaudatum ASF492, 72 nucleotides. The record is from Rfam. NCBI's taxonomy places the organism in Bacteria, Bacillati, Bacillota, Clostridia, Eubacteriales, Eubacteriaceae.
GGCGUCGUAGCCAAGUGGUAAGGCACGGGUCUGCAACACCCUUACGCGCCGGUUCAAAUCCGGCCGACGCCU